This 136-nucleotide ribosomal RNA is filed under the name Aeromonas veronii bv. veronii. RNAcentral describes it as "partial 23S ribosomal RNA". It matches the Rfam family "Bacterial large subunit ribosomal RNA", at positions 1 to 128 of the family's 2925-position model. Lineage: Bacteria; Pseudomonadati; Pseudomonadota; Gammaproteobacteria; Aeromonadales; Aeromonadaceae. The record is from RNAcentral.
GUUGUAUGGUUAAGUGACUAAGCGUACAUGGUGGAUGCUUGGCAGUCAGAGGCGAUGAAGGACGUACUAACCUGCGAUAAGCUGUGAGAAGUCGGUAAGAGACGCUAUUACUCACAGAUUUCCGAAUGGGGAAACC